Molecule: ribosomal RNA, 459 nt
Filed under: uncultured bacterium
Lineage: Bacteria
Description: bacterial SSU rRNA
Rfam family: Bacterial small subunit ribosomal RNA
Source: RNAcentral
GCAAGUCGAGCGGACCGAAGGGAGCUUGCUCCUUUAGGUUAGCGGCGGACGGGUGAGUAACACGUGGGCAACCUGCCCUGCAGACUGGGAUAACUUCGGGAAACCGGAGCUAAUACCGGAUAACACCGAAAACCGCAUGGUUUUCGGUUGAAAGGCGGCAUUAGCUGUCACUGCAGGAUCGGCCCGCGUUGGAUUAGGUAGUUGGUGGGGUAAUGGCCUACCAAGCCGACGAUCCAUAGCUGGUUUGAGAGGAUGAUCAGCCACACUGGGACUGAGACACGGCCCAGACUCCUACGGGAGGCAGCAGUCGGGAAUCUUAGACAAUGGGGGCAACCCUGAUCUAGCCAUGCCGCGUGUGUGAUGAAGGCCUUAGGGUCGUAAAGCACUUUCGCCUGUGAUGAUAAUGACAGUAGCAGGUAAAGAAACCCCGGCUAACUCCGUGCCAGCAGCCGCGGUAAU